UACGUAGGGGGCUAGCGUUGUCCGGAAUCAUUGGGCGUAAAGAGCGUGUAGGCGGCCGCACAGGUCCGUUGUGAAAACUGGAGGCUUAACCUUCAGACGUCGAUGGAAACCGUGCGGCUAGAGUCCGGAAGAGGAGAAUGGAAUUCCUGGUGUAGCGGUGAAAUGCGCAGAUAUCAGGAAGAACACCCGUGGCUAAGGCGGUUCUCUAGUACGGUACUGACGCUGAGACGCGAAAGCGUGGGGAGCGAACAGG
Molecule: ribosomal RNA, 253 nt
Filed under: uncultured bacterium
Lineage: Bacteria
Description: partial 16S ribosomal RNA
Rfam family: Bacterial small subunit ribosomal RNA
Source: RNAcentral